Molecule: ribosomal RNA, 492 nt
Filed under: uncultured bacterium
Lineage: Bacteria
Description: partial 16S ribosomal RNA
Rfam family: Bacterial small subunit ribosomal RNA
Source: RNAcentral
AGUGAACGCUGGCGGUAGGCCUAACACAUGCAAGUCGAACGGCAGCACAGUAAGAGCUUGCUCUUACGGGUGGCGAGUGGCGGACGGGUGAGGAAUACAUCGGAAUCUACUUUUUCGUGGGGGAUAACGUAGGGGAACUUACGCUAAUACCGCAUACGACCUACGGGUGAAAGCAGGGGAUCUUCGGACCUUGCGCGAUUGAAUGAGCCGAUGUCGGAUUAGCUAGUUGGCGGGGUAAGGGCCCACCAAGGCGACGAUCCGUAGCUGGUCUGAGAGGAUGAUCAGCCACACUGGAACUGAGACACGGUCCAGACUCCUACGGGAGGCAGCAGUGGGGAAUAUUGGACAAUGGGCGCAAGCCUGAUCCAGCCAUACCGCGUGGGUGAAGAAGGCCUUCGGGUUGUAAAGCCCUUUUGUUGGGAAAGAAAAGCAGCAGGUUGAUACCCCGCUGUUCUGACGGUACCCAAAGAAUAAGCACCGGCUAACUUCGUG